RNAcentral lists this long non-coding RNA (330 nucleotides) under Trifolium pratense (red clover). RNAcentral describes it as "long non-coding RNA (TPRA_LNC010955)". The record is from RNAcentral. Lineage: Eukaryota; Viridiplantae; Streptophyta; Magnoliopsida; Fabales; Fabaceae.
UUUGAAGAAGCCAAAAUGAAAUAUAUUAACACAAACAGCCUCCUUAGCACAAGAUGUACCAAGGUAGACUAAAAAAGUUUACAAUAUAGUCAUAGAGAUACAAUCACAAUCAAAUCAAACAAGACCCAAACACAACCAUGGACUAGACCACCAGCUAUGGUAGUUCAAAGCUAACGUAAUACUCGUCGACUUCAACCACCUAAAUGAGAAUAACUUGAUCUUGUCCAACAAAAGAUGAGGUGUGCCUGUUGAGCCUUUGAAUAAGCGAUGAUUUCUCUCUGUCCAUAUCACCCAAACACACACUAGCCAAAGAAGCUGAAGAAAAGACCG